Molecule: ribosomal RNA, 496 nt
Filed under: uncultured bacterium
Lineage: Bacteria
Description: partial 16S ribosomal RNA
Rfam family: Bacterial small subunit ribosomal RNA
Source: RNAcentral
AUGAACGCUGGCGGCGUGCCUAAUACAUGCAAGUCGAGCGAACAGAUGAGGAGCUUGCUCCUCUGACGUUAGCGGCGGACGGGUGAGUAACACGUGGAUAACCUACCUAUAAGACUGGGAUAACUUCGGGAAACCGGAGCUAAUACCGGAUAAUAUAUUGAACCGCAUGGUUCAAUAGUGAAAGACGGUUUUGCUGUCACUUAUAGAUGGAUCCGCGCCGCAUUAGCUAGUUGGUAAGGUAACGGCUUACCAAGGCAACGAUGCGUAGCCGACCUGAGAGGGUGAUCGGCCACACUGGAACUGAGACACGGUCCAGACUCCUACGGGAGGCAGCAGUAGGGAAUCUUCCGCAAUGGGCGAAAGCCUGACGGAGCAACGCCGCGUGAGUGAUGAAGGUCUUCGGAUCGUAAAGCUCUGUUAUUAGGGAAGAACAAAUGUGUAAGUAACUAUGCACGUCUUGACGGUACCUAAUCAGAAAGCCACGGCUAACUACGUG